CAUGGCAGUCCAGUCUUCUCUCCUGAAGGAAGAGGGAUUUUGUUGCCUGUUUCCACCCAUAUUCUCCUCUCUUUCUGGAUUAGAUGCAGCAGGUACAGGAGAAGCAGCUAUGGCUGGCGCAGGGGGAAUGGCAGGAGGGGUUGGAGAAAACCUUUUCUUUUUUUGUUUUGGGUGCUUCUGAUUGCCAGGCAGGAAACUACCUACCACAACCUGCACAGGACUAGCAGCUACUAGAAGUCCAGCAACACC
This 249-nucleotide unclassified non-coding RNA is filed under the name Hevea brasiliensis (rubber tree). The record is from RNAcentral. Lineage: Eukaryota; Viridiplantae; Streptophyta; Magnoliopsida; Malpighiales; Euphorbiaceae.